Molecule: ribosomal RNA, 253 nt
Filed under: uncultured prokaryote
Description: partial 16S ribosomal RNA
Rfam family: Bacterial small subunit ribosomal RNA
Source: RNAcentral
UACGAAGGGUGCAAACGUUGCUCGGAAUCAUUGGGCGUAAAGCGCACGUAGGCGGCCUCGCAAGUCGGAUGUGAAAUACCUAGGCUCAACCAAGGACGUGCAUCCGAAACUGCAAGGCUUGAGUACAGAAGAGGAUCGCGGAAUUCCCGGUGUAGAGGUGAAAUGCGUAGAUAUCGAGAGGAACACCUGCGGCGAAGGCGGGUUGCUGGGCUGACACUGACGCUGAGGCGCGAAAGCCAGGGGAGCGAACGGG